This 535-nucleotide long non-coding RNA is filed under the name Jatropha curcas. Its description in RNAcentral is "long non-coding RNA (JCUR_LNC001583)". The record is from RNAcentral. Lineage: Eukaryota; Viridiplantae; Streptophyta; Magnoliopsida; Malpighiales; Euphorbiaceae.
GAUAACUUGCAAAUCCAAUUUUCUUUUAUUGUUAUAUUUGUGUUGAUUUGGUGUCAUUUUGUGCUUAAAAGAGUGGUUUAACUUGAUUUAUUGUUUUUAUGCUAGGAAAAGUUGGAUUUGAUAUGAAUGAAGCAAAAAGGAGCACAAUUGAAAUGUUUUGGAGCAAGGAAGGAGCUGCUGGAAUUUUGGAACACAAAUGCAAGCUGUUAGGCUCUUAGCCUUGGGCAAGACUAAGCAGGAAAUCAGAUCAGCGGACUGAUUGUGACAUUAUUGGCUGGUCACGACUUCUUCAACUAAUUCCAGCACGUUUUACAGCCACAUGAUGAUAUUAGACACAGUUUUUAGUGGGUAUUUUUAUUGUAUUAGUGGACCCCACCUUCUAGGGGCUAUUUAAGUCGAAAUUAGGUCUUUUUGUGGAUCAUCUUUUGCCUCCCUGGGGUUGUGACGAAUUUGAGAGAAUUUUUGAGAGAUUUUUGCCGAACUUUCAAUCCUUUAGAUGAUGUUUUCUUCUAUAGCCAUGUGUGGCUAAACGUUC